GACGGAGGAUGCAAGUGUUAUCCGGAAUCACUGGGCGUAAAGCGUCUGUAGGUGGUUUAAAAAGUCUGCUGUUAAAGCUUGAAGCUUAACUUCAAAAAUGCGGUAGAAACUUUUAAACUUGAGUAUGGUAGGGGUAGAGGGAAUUUCCAGUGGAGCGGUGAAAUGCGUAGAUCUUGGAAAGACCACCAAUGGCGAAGGCACUCUACUGGGCCAUAACUGACACUAAGAGACGAAAGCUAGGGGAGCAAAUGGG
RNAcentral lists this ribosomal RNA (253 nucleotides) under uncultured bacterium. RNAcentral describes it as "partial 16S ribosomal RNA". It matches the Rfam family "Bacterial small subunit ribosomal RNA", at positions 524 to 776 of the family's 1533-position model. The record is from RNAcentral.